This 315-nucleotide ribosomal RNA is filed under the name uncultured bacterium. RNAcentral describes it as "bacterial SSU rRNA". It matches the Rfam family "Bacterial small subunit ribosomal RNA", at positions 28 to 334 of the family's 1533-position model. The record is from RNAcentral.
GAUGAACGCUAGCGACAGGCUUAACACAUGCAGGCCGAGGGGCAGCGGGGUUGUAGCUUGCUAUAACUGCCGGCGACCGGCGCACGGGUGAGUAACACGUAUGCAACCUGCCCGUUGCAGGGGGAUAAGCGGAAGAAAUUCCGUCUAAUACCGCGUAAUAUACUUUAGGGCAUCCUUUAGUAUUAAAGAUUUAUCGGCAACGGAUGGGCAUGCGGCGCAUUAGCUAGUUGGUGAGGUAACGGCUCACCAAGGCAACGAUGCGUAGGGGUUCUGAGAGGAACGGUCCCCCACACUGGUACUGACGACACGGUCCAA